RNAcentral lists this ribosomal RNA (497 nucleotides) under uncultured bacterium. RNAcentral's name for it is "partial 16S ribosomal RNA". It matches the Rfam family "Bacterial small subunit ribosomal RNA", at positions 28 to 507 of the family's 1533-position model. The record is from RNAcentral.
GAUGAACGCUGGCGGCGUGCCUAAUACAUGCAAGUCGAGCGAACAGACGAGGAGCUUGCUCCUCUGACGUUAGCGGCGGACGGGUGAGUAACACGUGGAUAACCUACCUAUAAGACUGGGAUAACUUCGGGAAACCGGAGCUAAUACCGGAUAAUAUAUUGAACCGCAUGGUUCAAUAGUGAAAGACGGUUUUGCUGUCACUUAUAGAUGGAUCCGCGCCGCAUUAGCUAGUUGGUAAGGUAACGGCUUACCAAGGCAACGAUGCGUAGCCGACCUGAGAGGGUGGUCGGCCACACUGGAGCUGAGACACGGUCCAGACUCCUACGGGAGGCAGCAGUAGGGAAUCUUCCGCAAUGGGCGAAAGCCUGACGGAGCAGCGCCGCGUGAGUGAUGAAGGUCUUCGGAUCGUAAAACUCUGUUAUUAGGGAAGAACAAAUGUGUAAGUAACUAUGCACGUCUUGACGGUACCUAAUCAGAAAGCCACGGCUAACUACGUG